GUGUGGUCACAGGACUAACUUCUGUCCGCUGAACUAUGAAUGAAAGUGUGUGGGGCAUGCUGAAGUGCCACUUACUGGAAGAUGUGCCACUUUCCGCCCUUCUACCUUUAUUCCUUCUUCAAACCUUCUCAGUGGUUUGAUGGCAAAGUCCUUGCAGUCAUCAUGAAUCAUGUAAUCAUAUUGAGGAUAGGGGUAGCGGAGAAGAAAGAAUGGAGGCUGAAUCAUGGAGAGCCACCAUGCAACUUUAGACUACCUACAGCUUGACUUUCAUUAUAUGAGAGAAUUAACCCAUUAUCUUCCACGUCUUUGCUACGUGCAGGUAAAUGCUAUUCCUAAAUCACACAGCGCCCCUUUCAAUCACGUAAACAAUACACCAGUCCCACUGAGUACUUGCUGUGGUCCCCAUCAUGUGCUGUGGACUGUCACUGCAGUGUCCUUGCCCACUACCACAGUGGCUGUCCUUUCUACAUGGGUCAGUGCAACCAGGUAGGUGGCCUUGUACAUUGACUCCUCAUCCUUUCUUUCCCAACUGGUGACCUCAGUCCACAGGACUAGUAGAACAAACUUUAAAUUUUCAUUUUUGGCUCAGAUCAUCUAGGAAAAUCAGUCUACACAAAUACACGAACACACACACACAGAGACACACACACACACACACACCCAGUACAUACAGAGAACCAAAUGACUUUUCAGAAUCCACAAAUCUUCCCAUACUUGAAGCAAUCCUUACUUCAGUCUGAAGAGUUUUCCAAAAUAACCCUUCAGCCCCUUUUAAGAGAAGGCCUAUCUAAUGAAAAAUGUAACUGUUGUAUGGAAUAAAAAAUUGCAGACUUAAUAAUUCAAAACUGCUACUAAAUCAAUGUACUGCUUGUUGGUUUGUCAAUACAGCUUUCUCAAUUAGACAAUUUUAUUACAGUGAUGAAUACCAAUGGCAUAAUUGAGAGACUGCUGUUCUAAAUUAUGGUCUGUUUAGCCUAACAAUCCAUAUUUGCUACUGAAUAAAUGUGAUGACUAUAGCCUUCUGAAGAUGAAUGGUCCUCUACUGGCAGCUGACCUGUCCCUGGUGACGACUGGGCAGGAAUGAUUCUCAUCAUAUUCCUUCAUGGGAUCCUUCUGGCUGACCAUUGUAAUGGCACUUCGCCUCCCUUCCCAGUGCCCUCUCCUACACCAGGAACAGCUACCCUGCUGGUGAUGGGUGUUGUAGAUAGUGCCUUUCAAGUAAGUUCCGAGUUCCACACCAAAUCCCACUUUUCCUGGUAAAUAAAAACAGCACGAGGUGAGGCACACGGGCUUUUUUCCCCAGCACUUAGGGAGAUCAAGGCAGGAGGAUCGCUUGAGGCCAGGAGUAAUAGAGCCUGGGCCGGGUGCGGUGGCUAACAUCUGUAAUUCCAGCACUUUGGCAGGCCGAGAUGGGUGGAUCACCUGGGGUCAGGGGUUCAAGACUAGGCUGGCUAACAUGGCAAAACCCGUCUCUGCUAAAAAUACAAAAAUUAGUCAGGUGUGGUGAUGCGUGCCUGUAGUCCCAGCUACUUGGGAGGCUGAGGCAGGAGAAUCGCUUGAACCUGAGAGGAGGAGGUUGCAGUGAACCAAGAUUGCACCAUUGUAUUCCAGCCUGGGUAACAGAGUGAGGCUCUGUCUCAAAAAGAAAAAACAAAAAACAAAAAAAA
Macaca fascicularis (crab-eating macaque) is the source of this 1667-nucleotide long non-coding RNA. NCBI's taxonomy places the organism in Eukaryota, Metazoa, Chordata, Mammalia, Primates, Cercopithecidae. The record is from Ensembl.